RNAcentral lists this ribosomal RNA (681 nucleotides) under uncultured nitrite-oxidizing bacterium. RNAcentral's name for it is "bacterial SSU rRNA". It matches the Rfam family "Bacterial small subunit ribosomal RNA", at positions 21 to 696 of the family's 1533-position model. The record is from RNAcentral.
GGCUCAGAACGAACGCUGGCGGCGCGCCUAAUACAUGCAAGUCGAGCGAGAAGACGUAGCAAUACGUUUGUAAAGCGGCGAACGGGUGAGGAAUACAUGGGUAACCUACCCUAGAGUGGGGAAUAACUAGCCGAAAGGUUAGCUAAUACCGCGUACGCUUCUUGGACUUCGGUUCAGGGAGGAAAGCGCUACCGAGGGUAGCGCGCUCUUGGAUGGGCUCAUGUCCUAUCAGCUUGUUGGUGAGGUAAUGGCUCACCAAGGCUUCGACGGGUAGCUGGUCUGAGAGGACGAUCAGCCACACUGGCACUGCGACACGGGCCAGACUCCUACGGGAGGCAGCAGUAAGGAAUAUUGCGCAAUGGGCGAAAGCCUGACGCAGCGACGCCGCGUGGGGGAUGAAGGUCUUCGGAUUGUAAACCCCUUUCGGGAGGGAAGAUGGAGUGGGUAACCAUUCGGACGGUACCUCCAGAAGCAGCCACGGCUAACUUCGUGCCAGCAGCCGCGGUAAUACGAAGGUGGCAAGCGUUAUUCGGAUUUACUGGGCGUACAGGGAGCGUAGGCGGUUUGGUAAGCCCUCUGUGAAAUCUCCAGGCUUAACCUGGAAAAGUCAGAGGGGACUGCUGGGCUAGAGGACAGGAGAGGAGCGCGGAAUUCCCGGUGUAGCGGUGAAAUGCGUAGAGA